GAAGACGAAGAUUCAAGAUGAGAUUUUUUUGAAAUGAAAGUCACCUUAUUUUGUUUUUGUUGAGGAUUUUAUUACCUCUUUUUUUUUAUCCCUCAUUUUUGCCUGGACGGCUUCUUUGAAGCUUGCGGUUCAACGGGAUGUCCUGCUUUUUGCCUAAGUCGUUUUUUUUGUGGUAUUCGACUUAGCGGACUUUUUUUUCUUUCUUUUUUAUUUUGAAAGGUUGUG
This 225-nucleotide long non-coding RNA is filed under the name Lathyrus oleraceus (garden pea). RNAcentral's name for it is "Pisum sativum (pea) long non-coding RNA (PSAT_LNC023363)". Lineage: Eukaryota; Viridiplantae; Streptophyta; Magnoliopsida; Fabales; Fabaceae. The record is from RNAcentral.